Molecule: ribosomal RNA, 315 nt
Filed under: uncultured eukaryote
Lineage: Eukaryota
Description: partial 18S ribosomal RNA
Rfam family: Eukaryotic small subunit ribosomal RNA
Source: RNAcentral
CCCUUAGACGUUCUGGGCCGCACGCGCGCUACACUGACCGGUGCAACAAGCAUCCGUCCUUGGCCGACAGGCCCGGGCAAUCUUUGAACGCCGGUCGUGAUGGGGAUAGACUUUUGCAAUUUUUGGUCUUCAACGAGGAAUUCCUAGUAAACGCAAGUCAUCAACUUGCAUUGAUUACGUCCCUGCCCUUUGUACACACCGCCCGUCGCACCUACCGAUUGAAUGGUCCGGUGAAGCCUCCGGAUUGGCGCGCACCUCGGUGCCGCCGAGAAGUUGGCUAAACCUUACCAUUUAGAGGAAGGUGAAGUCGUAACA